This 84-nucleotide transfer RNA is filed under the name Eubacteriales bacterium. RNAcentral describes it as "tRNA-Leu". It matches the Rfam family "tRNA". From Rfam's summary of the family: Transfer RNA (tRNA) molecules are approximately 80 nucleotides in length. Lineage: Bacteria; Bacillati; Bacillota; Clostridia; Eubacteriales. The record is from RNAcentral.
GCCUCUGUAGCAGAAUCGGAAUAUGCGCCGGGCUCAGAACCCGGGCCGGGAAAACCGCUGCGGGUUCGACCCCCGCCAGAGGUA